UGAGGAAUAUUGGGCAAUGCCCGCAAGGGUGACCCAGCAACGCCGCGUGGAGGAUGAAUGUCGUAAGAUUGUAAACUCCUGUUAGAGGGGAAGAAUAGUACCGGUUGGACCGGUAUAUGACUGUACCCUCAGAGAAAGCCCCGGCUAACUACGUGCCAGCAGCCGCGGUAAUACGUAGGGGGCAAGCGUUGUCCGGAUUUACUGGGUGUAAAGGGCGCGCAGGCGGGAUAAAAAGUCAGUGGUGAAAUCCUACAGCUUAACUGUAGAACUGCCUUUGAUACGUUUAUUCUUGAGUUCGGGAGAGAGAGACGGAAUUCCAGGUGUAGUGGUGAAAUACGUAGAUAUCUGGAAGAACACCAGUUGCGAAGGCGGUCUCUUGGUCCGACACUGACGCUGAGGCGCGAAAGCGUGGGGAGCAAACA
RNAcentral lists this ribosomal RNA (422 nucleotides) under uncultured bacterium. RNAcentral's name for it is "bacterial SSU rRNA". It matches the Rfam family "Bacterial small subunit ribosomal RNA", at positions 355 to 774 of the family's 1533-position model. The record is from RNAcentral.